GCGGCGUGCUUAACACAUGCAAGUCGAGCGAUGAGAUCCCUUCGGGGAUGGAUUAGCGGCGAACGGGUGAGGAACACGUGAAGAAUCUGCCUUCAACCCUGGGAUAACACCGGGAAACCGGUGCUAAUACCGGAUAUGAGCCUUGAUCGCAUGAUCGGGGCUGGAAAGUUUAUCGGUUGAAGAUGACUUCGCGGCCUAUCAGCUUGUUGGUGAGGUAAUAGCUCACCAAGGCGACGACGGGUAGCCGGCCUGAGAGGGCGACCGGCCACACUGGGACUGAGACACGGCCCAGACUCCUACGGGAGGCAGCAGUGGGGAAUAUUGGGCAAUGGAGGAAACUCUGACCCAGCGACGCCGCGUGCGGGAUGAAGGCCUUCGGGUUGUAAACCGCUUUCAGCAGGGAAGAAGCGAAAGUGACGGUACCUGCAGAAGAAGCACCGGCUAACUAUGUGCCAGCAGCCGCGGUAAUACAUAGGGUGCAAGCGUUGUCCGGAAUUAUUGGGCGUAAAGAGCUCGUAGGUGGUUAGUUACGUCGGAUGUGAAAAUCUAGGGCUCAACCCUAGACCUGCAUCCGAUACGGGCUAGCUUGAGUUUGGUAGGGGAGACUGGAAUUCCUGGUGUAGCGGUGGAAUGCGCAGAUAUCAGGAGGAACACCAAUGGCGAAGGCAGGUCUCUGGGCCAAUACUGACACUGAGGAACGAAAGUGUGGGGAGCGAACAGGAUUAGAUACCCUGGUAGUCCACACAGUAAACGAUGGGCACUAGUUGUGGGAACCUUCCACGGUUUCUGCGACGCAGCUAACGCAUUAAGUGCCCCGCCCUGGGAGUACGAUCGCAAGAUUA
This 842-nucleotide ribosomal RNA is filed under the name uncultured bacterium. Its description in RNAcentral is "bacterial SSU rRNA". It matches the Rfam family "Bacterial small subunit ribosomal RNA", at positions 39 to 896 of the family's 1533-position model. The record is from RNAcentral.